GAAAUCUCCUCUCUGUCCGGAAUUACUUGUCGCAUAAAUGGAUAAAAACGGAUGUAUCUAGAACUAAAAUAUGUCUAGAUACAUACAUUUUUCCGAUAAGUAUUUCCGAACGGAGGGAGUAGAUG
Molecule: non-coding RNA, 125 nt
Organism: Triticum urartu
Lineage: Eukaryota; Viridiplantae; Streptophyta; Magnoliopsida; Poales; Poaceae
Source: Rfam